UGUGAAACAGUUAAGACAGAAGUAAUGAGAGCGGGAGAGAUGGCACAGCAGUUAAGAAGCGAGUGAUCAACUCCAUUGUCAGCACCUGAGUAACAGAGCUGUAACAACCUAUAACUUCAGCUCCAGAUAUUCUGAUGUUGUCUUCUGGGCACCUAUAUACAUGGCAUUUGUUACCACAAACACUUGCGUGUGGAAUUAAAUUCUAAAAAUUAAGUCUAAAUUAAUACAGAAAGAUAUAAAGAUUUUUAUGUAGUCAUGUGUUAACACUGUCGCUUCUAAAAUAGCAUCCUAGAACAACAUGGAUUCACACUCUCAAGCCCAUGUAGGCGGCAGAGAUGGUUCGGUGGGUAACUCAGGUGGAAAAGCGAGCCUGAUGACGUGAGUGUGUGUCCUUAGCACACAAACAAAUUCCAGACACGUUGGCCCAGGGCUAUAAUCUCAGCACUCAGAUAGCAACACAGGUGAUGAAAAAAGAAAUACCCUGAAAGAAUAGCCUGGGAUGUACCGCACAGUGGGAAACUUGAAGAGAGACACUACUGCUAAGGAGGACCAAUCCAGGUUGAUCCUCUGUCCUCGGUGUGUAGUCCAUGGCAGAUGAGUGUUUUCAUAUGUGAACAUAUGCACUCACUGCUUACAAAUAUUGCACGUGCACAUGAACAUGUGUGCACACACAAACACACACACACACAGGCAUACACAUGCACACACAAACACACUCCAAAAAGAAAUAAAAUAUAAUUGCCAAGCUUGAUGAAUUAAAUUUUCUAUCUAAAGGGAACACUCAUUUUUUUCUCCUGUUUGAAAGUUACUAUUUUUAUUUCCUGUAUGUUUUCUUUAUGCAUUACUUUCAAAUUAUGUCCAUACAGCUGUCAAUACAAACAAUCUAUGUAUUUGACUGAAGUAUACUCUUCCAACAAAUAUCAUCUUGUACAUCAGCACAGCCCAUGAGGAUAUGAGAACAGAAAUGGAGAGAAAAUUUUUAGAGAUGUCUUUAGUGGUUUGACAGGAUAAUUUCAUAUCUACAAAACUUGUAAUUUAAAUGCUGUUAUAUCCUAUGUCCUUUCUGACCAUUGUAAUUUUUAUUGUAUUUUACGACUAAAACACUAGUUUGUGAAUGGGUGGAAGAAAAAUAUGAAAAGCACCAGAUUGGAUUCAAGGCAGCUAUCGUGUGAAGAGAAGGAGAUAAAAGUAUUUGGGAGACAGUUGUGCUGCCUCCUGACCAAACAGUGAUCAGAGAGUUGUUGCAAAAGACCAGAGAUAAGCUUACUAUGACAGCAUGCCUUGUCUACACGUAAUUGGUUGUUGGAGUUCCCUGGAGAAAUUGUAUUUAACAUGGACUGUGGCAAAUAUCUAAAUGCCUAUGUGUCCCAAUGGCUCUUUGUAUGCAUAGUAAGAAUAAAUUAUUCCAUUCUGUAAUUACUUUCUGGUACUUAUAAUCUUGCAAAAAUGACAAAUUAUAGGUUUUAACCUCAACUAAAUAUGAAUUGGGCAAAAAUGUAGCUAGUUUUCUUGACCUUAGUAGAAUAUAGGAAGAUACCAUGAUGUCUCAUUACAGAACCCCCUCCAAAAAUCUAAAAUAAAUUUGUAUAGUUAACUGUUAAAACUUGUUAAUAAAUGUAUAAGCAUAAAACUAAGAUUUUGCACAUGAAUUACUCUCUCAAUUUUCUUUAAGUUCCUGAUUACCUUAAGAAAUUAAAAUUACUUUAUUGAAAUUGGGCAAUAUAGAAAUUUAUUGUUUUGGGAAAGCAUUUGAUAAAAUAGUUUUCUAUUUCAGAUGUUUAGACCAACUUUUUAUAUAAAAGUAAUUAGUAAUUGGUUUGACUAUCUUGAGUUUGUCAAACUUAGUUAAUAUGAGUUUACACCAACUCUUUUAAGCACUAGGGCCUCUCCUGCUCUUGUGGAAUAGUAUCUAAUCAAGUCCUGCACACCAUUUUCCAUGACUAGAAAUUAUUUGAAUUCAGUACCUUUACUGUCAUGUUCAGUCUUUAAAUUUGUUAAAGAAUAGAAUUAGGUAGCCAUCACAAGCGAUUUUCCCUUUGUUUGGUUCAAACUUUCAUGUUUUAGUAGCAAACUUUGUAAUUAUUUGAACUACCUGAACUCAAUGUGUCCAGAUAAGCCAUAUUUUAAUUAAACAUUCAGAGUUUUACAGUCAUCUGCAAUUGUUAUGUAGGGAAUAAGUUUGCAGAGAAAUGGUUUUCCAGCAUUCUGACAUUUCCCAAGCUCAUCCCCUCCUUCUGUCCUUCACAGGCAAUGAAGAGCAUGCCUCCCACUCAUUGUAGUCAGACUUCAAAUAGUUAUGAAAAACAUGCAUGGCUCUUUUUGCUGAGGAAGACAUUAGUAAAUGACUUUUAGUAAAGAGUUUCAAAGAGUGUUUCAACCUCUCAGGAGCUGAAGCAGAUGAAUCAGGGAGGGAGCCAUCGGGGAAAGAUCUCUGUAAGUAUUGCAGACUGAGGGUUUCCAAAUGCUUUCGCUGGGGAAGAAAGCAAAUCUACUAUCUUGCUAUAAGGAUCCUUCUUAUGUUUCUGGCCCUUAGGAAUUCCAGCUCAUCAUCCUGUAAGACGGAAGAGCACUGAAGUUGUUCAGUUAACCCCGCUUGCUGUGUUAGCCUGCUUAUCCUUGAUCUCCCGUUAGAGUGGGAUUAUUGAAGCCCACUUUGGCACCUGACUUUUGCAGCCUUCCUUAGGCACAAAUCUUACAAGACAAGAGAUUAGGGCCAGUAAUUUAGUCAUCAAAGGAAAACAAUGCACAGCAUACAAAAGAGGAGUCAGGGAUUUGGGAAACAGUAUGUAAUAUCGCUAGAGUCCAGAUCCAAUUAAUUUUAAUGUUUGCUGUUGUAUUUUAAUGUUAGACAGAAAUAUUCCCCAAACGUUACCUUAAAUAGUUAUCAUCAAGCAAAACUUACAUGUUUUAGUAGCAAGCUUUGUAAUUAUUUGAAGAUGUGAGAGAGCACCAUAAAACCCCUUCAAGAACAAGUCUCCAAUUACUUAUGGUUUUAUGAGCUAGAUGACAUUUAGUGAGCAUGCUUAGUGUGUACAAAACAUCCUGUUUUAGGGCAUAAUGCUCAGUGAGCACAGGAGUGUGUGUGGGGGGGUGGGGUUGGUUUGGUUUGGUUUCUUUGUGAAUUUUCUGUUUUGUCUUCAGUCUUUCACCAAAAGACAUUUCAAUAUACCAACAGAUCUUCCUUAUGCCCGGGACGUUUAGCGGCUAUUCUGGCAAUAACCUCCUGCAUGAGAAUCACAUUUGCUUUCAUCAGCCCCCCAGGAAAGACAGAAAAACCCUGGAAUGUCUCUGAUGACAUUGCAUUCAGUUUAUUACAUUUCCUUGUGUUGCCCUGUAGGGAAUUGUAGCAAAGAUGGCUUUAGACUUUUUAUCAGCACCUGGGGGUUAGCUGUUAUUCUGAGAUCCUUAUUGAAGAUUUUGUUGCUGUUCUUAAGUAACAUGAAAUUAUUCCUUUUUAUUAGAGUCAAAUUCCCUAUAUGUACAUGAAUUUCUUUUUACAAAUUCUGGUGUCAUCCGUCUGUUGGGAGAUAUUCAAUGGCAUGCACCUUAACUAAGGUCUUUAUAUAACAAUGGCAAUUAUUUAUUAUGAGUUCAAGGUAUUGUUGUGACAUUCCAUAUCACAAAGCUUGAAGCUUUGGUGUAAAAUGCUUUUCUUUGAUGGAAUGGAGUCCUACAGGAUUUCUUCCUGUCAGGCUUUGGUCUUUGCGCAUGGCUGAUACCAUGGCUGGUGAUCUUCAAAGAGCUGUUUCCAGGUUGUACGCCCACCCAACCACCCAAGCUCUGCAGUAGUACAGGAGUGGAGAGUUUAAAUUCAGAGCUUCCUGAUUCCUGUUUGCAUCAUUACAAGCAUUUUAGUAAGGGCACUAUGCCCAUUGUCUGUCAAUGUCACCGAGGACAUGUAAGAAAAUGAAGAGGGUGUCUUAUCUAAUGGCCAAGAAGAUCAUUUCCAUUGUUAUUUUCAGUUUAUUGCUUUUUCUAGCAGAGUAAGCACCCCAUCCAACAAGAGAGGUUCUAAUGUAGACAUACUGAGUUACUGCAGCGAUGGAGCCUGCCCUGCAUCCAACACACAGUGUCUGGAUAUGGGAAACUUAAUUACUCUUUUAAAAUACUGUUCACAUCCUAACAUCUUAACCUUCCCAAGACUUAAUAACCUUCCCUGUGCAGCUGAUCUGUCUUCUGUCUAACUCCAGACAUUACUUCCAGAUAGAGAUUGAGAACAUCUGGUUAACACCCUCUUAGUAAUAACCUUUCAUAUUCCCUUGCUUUUAAAGUAGAAUUAGACACCAUUAUUCUUUGAAAUGACAUUUUUAUAUUGAAGUUCCUUUAGCUCCAUGACUCUUGAAUGUACAUGUCUUCUAUGGCUAUUAAGCAUUCUUCUCUCGAGAGAGUUUCCUAAUUCUAAAAACAUUUUUUUUCUGCUGAAAUUCUGCUGUCAAUUACUUUGUUUGUGCAGCUGAGUAUAAUUUGCUCUGGAAAGAAAACAGGAAAUUCAGAAACAAAUUUGGGUACUUAGGUGUUCCAUCUAUGGGAACAAAUGCACUGCCUAUUUUCAAAAUUUCCUUGGGGGUUCAUUCAGAUGUAAAUAAUGUUGCCAAAGUAUCUGUUAGUUUCCAUUCUUUUUGAUGGUGAUGUUUACAUAAUUAACAGAGAAAAUAUUAAAAUAGACUAAUACUUUGCUAGUUAAAAAAUCAGGUUUCCAUUGCAAAGUGUUAUGAUAUUUUUGAAGUUGUU
RNAcentral lists this long non-coding RNA (4731 nucleotides) under Mus musculus (house mouse). RNAcentral describes it as "long non-coding RNA chr14:117328309-117333040". The record is from RNAcentral. Lineage: Eukaryota; Metazoa; Chordata; Mammalia; Rodentia; Muridae.